RNAcentral lists this ribosomal RNA (274 nucleotides) under uncultured bacterium. RNAcentral describes it as "partial 16S ribosomal RNA". It matches the Rfam family "Bacterial small subunit ribosomal RNA", at positions 523 to 796 of the family's 1533-position model. The record is from RNAcentral.
AUACGGAGGGGGCAAGCGUUAUUCGGAAUUAUUGGGCGUAAAGGGCUCGUAGGCGGCCUAGCAAGUCAGUGGUGAAAUCCCUCGGCGCAACCGAGGAACUGCCUCUGAAACUGCAAGGCUAGAGGCCGGGAGAGGGUGGUGGAAUUCCCAGUGUAGCGGUGAAAUGCGUAGAUAUUGGGAGGAACACCAGUGGCGAAGGCGGCCACCUGGACCGGUUCUGACGCUGAGGAGCGAAAGCGUGGGGAGCAAACAGGAUUAGAAACCCUAGUAGUCC